This 505-nucleotide ribosomal RNA is filed under the name uncultured bacterium. RNAcentral describes it as "partial 16S ribosomal RNA". It matches the Rfam family "Bacterial small subunit ribosomal RNA", at positions 28 to 507 of the family's 1533-position model. The record is from RNAcentral.
GACGAACGCUGGCGGCGUGCCUAAUACAUGCAAGUCGAACGCACAGUUUAUACCGUAGCUUGCUACACCAUAGACUGUGAGUUGCGAACGGGUGAGUAACGCGUAGGUAACCUGCCUGGUAGCGGGGGAUAACUAUUGGAAACGAUAGCUAAUACCGCAUAAUAUUAAUUAUUGCAUGAUAAUUAAUUGAAAGGUGCAAUUGCACCACUACCAGAUGGACCUGCGUUGUAUUAGCUAGUAGGUGAGGUAACGGCUCACCUAGGCGACGAUACAUAGCCGACCUGAGAGGGUGAUCGGCCACACUGGGACUGAGACACGGCCCAGACUCCUACGGGAGGCAGCAGUAGGGAAUCUUCGGCAAUGGACGAAAGUCUGACCGAGCAACGCCGCGUGAGUGAAGAAGGGUUUCGGAUCGUAAAGCUCUGUUGUAAGAGAAGAACGGGUGUGAGAGUGGAAAGUUCACACUGUGACGGUAUCUUACCAGAAAGGGACGGCUGACUACGUG